UCAGGCUGAGAUUUUCCAUGCAGUGUUUUUUAGGAGAUGAAUUUCGGGCCAAGCUGUUCCCAAAAUGAGACAAGGUUAAGAAAAAAUGGUAACUUUUGCUGCUGAUUUAAAAAACAAAAACAAAAGUAUUUGCAGAGAUAUAUUUCUAAGACUCCACCCCUGCAAAAAUCUUCCUAACUGCGGCCAAAUUAUAGAAUUGUGGGAAAACCGAACAUACUUGGUGGUGAUUUAGUCAAAGCUAGCAGGUAAACCUGCGUGUGUUCAGCAUGCUGGUGCCUGGGGCGGAGGAGGCUGCUCUGUGCUUACAGCCGCUGCGGCGCGGCCAGGACAGCGAGCGGAGCCCAGGAAGCCGGUCGCCGCCUGCCCCAUGCCUUUGGAGGCGUGAAGAAGAGAGAAGAGUUGGAUCUGGGGAUGACAAUGCUAUAUUGGGACAACAGCAACAAAGCACUGCAGCUCAAACUUGUUACUUGUCUCAGACUGCUUUCCCUGCGUGUGCACAGCACCGCGUGUGCAUCCCCGGGUGUAGACUCCAUCAGCCUGGCUUGGAGCACCAAGCCCUGCACGGCACCAAAGGCUAAGGGCUGUCCGGCCCUUCGUGCACGGGAUGAAGCCCUCGCCUCCCGACAGCAUGACCAUCUCGUGGUGGAGGAGUAACUUGCGGUGCUCUUGUCCCUCUCUAUUAUUUCCUUCGCUGAGCCUGGUUUGUCUCCUCACCUCUCACCUGGGCCCUUGUCUAUUGAUUUCUGCUCUUGUUGUUUUCUGCGCUCCAAGAUGCCGUCUAUUUUUGUUGCCUUUGUGUUCCCUCUACCCUCGCUGCAUGCUGCUCUCUGCUGUCCCUUAUUCUCACAGCAUCUCUUCCUUUCAUGUUCCAAAUGACUGCUCUUUCCUCUUCAGAAAUACCUCCUAAAACCACACUCCUCUUAGAUCAAAGAGUGAAAUAAAGAUGAGCUGGCUUGACUGGGAGAAUCUGCAAAAAUAUUCUUCUUCAGCUGAUGAAAGCAGCUUGUCCUGGGCACGAAUAUUUAGGAAUAGCUGGAUACAUUCAAAGGCAGCAAUGAUGGCUUUCUCACAGGUUUCCUGGGUUGCUCCAGUGCUGCCAUCUCCUGCGGUCCUUGGGUCAGGCCCUAGCAUGAGCGUGGUGGAGGGCCUUACUCUGCCUCUCCUGCUCCUGUUGGGCAAUUUGCGUUCCUCAUCCUGCUUUUCUGUCCUGGUCCUUGCUCGUAUCAUCCUUGCCGUGACUGUGGCCCUGCACCGGCUCUGAUGUUGCCUCUUUCUUGCCUUUGACCCUUUCUGUUGCUCAUUUUCCUUGGAAAUGGCCAUGGCUCUGCCCUUCUCUGACCAAGUGGAUCACGUGGACCUUCUGCCUCGUCCUUGUCUCUGGGGUCUCCCUGUAACCUCUCUUUCCUGAGGUCCUGUUCUCCUGACUGUGGCCCUGGCUCACCAGGCUUGACUGCCCCUGCCUGGGUUGCAAGACACACACUGCACGCAUUGCAUGGGGGCCACAAGGAGAGGCAGUGCACCGAUGCCGGAGCUCUAUUCACACAACGUCUUCUUUGGAAAAAAAAACAGAGAAUUAAUGUAUGUAACAUUGUUAAUAAUGCAAGUUUGCCUGUUGUGAACCUGAUUUUAAUAAUCUGUGUGCUUUGUUUUUUUCCUGUUUCUUGAAUAAAGUAUUUGC
Dromaius novaehollandiae (emu) is the source of this 1678-nucleotide long non-coding RNA. RefSeq lists it as uncharacterized. The transcript has 3 exons. The record is from RefSeq and is a predicted model, not a curated record. NCBI's taxonomy places the organism in Eukaryota, Metazoa, Chordata, Aves, Casuariiformes, Dromaiidae.